Cordylochernes scorpioides is the source of this 73-nucleotide non-coding RNA. The record is from the annotation of a GenBank genome assembly. NCBI's taxonomy places the organism in Eukaryota, Metazoa, Arthropoda, Arachnida, Pseudoscorpiones, Chernetidae.
GAAGAAAUAGCUCAGUGUGGAAAGUGUUAGACUGAAGAUCUAAAGGUCCCUGGUUUGAACCCGGGUUUCGGCA